RNAcentral lists this ribosomal RNA (245 nucleotides) under uncultured bacterium. RNAcentral describes it as "partial 16S ribosomal RNA". It matches the Rfam family "Bacterial small subunit ribosomal RNA", at positions 524 to 770 of the family's 1533-position model. The record is from RNAcentral.
UACGUAGGGCGCAAGCGUUGUCCGGAAUUAUUGGGCGUAAAGAGCUCGUAGGCGGUCUGUCACGUCGGGGGGUGAAAGCCCGAGGCUCAACCUCGGAACUGCCUCGAUACUGCAGGGCUAGAGUCCUGGAGAGGAAGGUGGAAUGCUUGGUGUAGAGGUGAAAUUCGUAGAUAUCAAGCGGAACACCGGUGGCGAAGGCGGCCUCUGGACAAUGCUGACGCUAAAACACGAAAGCGUGGGGAGCA